RNAcentral lists this long non-coding RNA (4259 nucleotides) under Podarcis lilfordi (Lilford's wall lizard). Lineage: Eukaryota; Metazoa; Chordata; Lepidosauria; Squamata; Lacertidae. The record is from RNAcentral.
GCAUAAAAGGAACCAGCCUAGCCUCCAGUGGAAGGGAGUUCCACAGUCUGAGAGAAAGGAAAAUGCCCUCUCCCAUAAAAAGGCCCUCUCUCGUGGCCUCAUCAAGCGUGCAUCCAUAAUGGCGGCAGGAUAGAAAGAAAGGGUCCCCCAAAAGUAACAGCCGAGGAGGCCCAUUGGUAUUAAUGGGUCCGUUGGUCAUAUCCACUGAGUUCAAUGAGUCUACUCUGAGUAGGACACAUCCCAUUUAUUUCAGGAGAGUUUUUUUGUUUUUACUUCUAUGAUGGAUCGCAAAUUCCUCUGGCACCAACGAGACUUUGCCCCCGCUUCCUGUGUCGCUAUUCCUCCCCUGUGGUUCAAUCUACUUCAGUCAGAUUAGACGGGACUCUGGGGGCUGACGGUUAAGGGGCUCCUGGCGAAAAAGCUCCUGUGGCUCCAGCUGCUCCACUCGGAGCUGGGACUGGUUCUCCCGGGACAGGAGCUGUGAGGGGUUUUUUUGUGUGGGCAGGCAGAACAGAUGGGAAAGAGCCUCGAGGGAAGCCCCAAUGAACGGGCUGCUUAGCAGCACCUUCUGGUCUUCAGGAAAGGCAAGGGCACAACAUGGCUGAGAAGAAGGAGGCGCCUCCAAGACCAGACCUCACGAGUUGCCUCCGAGGCCUUUCCAAACGCGUUUCCAAACGUUUUGGGGUCUCCGGGAGUAAUCAGCCUGCCACGAGGCAGGAGUCGAAAUCAAAACAUCCCUCGCUUAAUUCAAACUCCGUGACGGAGUUUGCUCCCAUGUGAGAGAUUGCCAAGGAGUGCAGUUUGAAUCUGGCCCGUUCGCCAGAUCGAGAGAUUUAUCAGAUCCCCAUUAAAAUAGAGAAAUGAUUAGAGAGGAAAUUAUUUCUAUGGGGAACUGGGCUUGGCGCUGUUCAGUCAUUCCUCUGGAUAAAAGUGCGUUGGAAAAACUUUCCAAGGUCUGUAUAUAAACUUGCCAGUAAACGUCUUCCAUCGGAAUGUGCGAUCCGGUUCCUCUGUUUUAAUAGGAGACUGGGGAGCAAAUAAAGACUUUAUGUGCACGUGACAAGGGUUCUUUCUUGGUAAAGUAAGUCAGACACCCUUCCACUUCCUAAGUAAGGUGUUGAAAUCCAAGUAGAAGGUUUAAUAUUAUCAGUGGAUAAUUAAAAGUGUCGUCUCCUUUAGGUUGGAUUCCUGUUAUUAUUAUUAUUAUUAUUAAAAUUUAUAUACCGCCCUUCAAAAAAAAUAAAAAGAUCUCAGGGCGGUUCACAAAAUAAAAUACAAGAUGAAACACAAGUAAAUAAUUAAACCCAAACAAGAAAACAUAAACCCCAACCAGUUGCCCGCGAUCUACAUAUAAUGUCAAGUACAUUCAACAUUGAACUGUAUGCAGGUUGUUGUUGUUUUUUUUUAAAAGGAAGCAUCCUUUGCUCUGAAUCAGGGCAACUCUUUACGUGUUUGUCCAGAGGUGUCCCAUUGACUUCAGCAGAACUUGACUCUCGAGUCGACGUGCAUUCGAUGGCAGCCUCCGACCGCUCUUAGUUGUGGCAUCUAGAAUCGAGGAAGCGUCAGCUCACUUCCUUCUGUUCCCCUUCUGCGUUGUGUGAAUCUGGCUGAUACACGGGCGCAGGGCGAUCGCCGACGUUACUCCUGCUCAGAGGAGGCCCACUGAAAUCAAUGGACUCGAAUGAUACCCGAUGUACGAGAAGUCAGUAAGAAAUAAAGCCGGCCAUCUGCCAAUCUCAUUUUAUGGAGUGCUUCGAAGCUGCUUCCUCCCAGGUCGGUUUGUGUACCUUGCCAACUGCUUCUGUUUAUAUAGUCCUUGUCUUGCCUUCUGCCAUGACCUGUUAGGUUUGCAUUUGGGGGAAAAGAAAAGAAAGAAAAAACCUCCGACUUUUAUUGUUUGGCAAACCUGCUCUGAAACGGUAACAAACCUAGCAAGGUCAGCCGGAGAAAUAGACAGGAGAAGAAGUGUCAUGGAAAGUCCAGCUGGUUUGAUAUAGGAGUGAAGUCCACUGGUUUCAGUUUCCCUACUCUGAGUAUGCCUAAGGUCGGCUAGCACCCCCCACAAGGCAGAAGAGAAGAGAAAGAAAAGCCUGGGGCUUCUGUCUUUAGCAACGAAAACAGUAAGGAACAGUCCUUCACUCCAGCGUCCAGUAGGUAGGUUGAUAAGCACCCUACUAAACUGAGCGGGUCUUAUUUCCCAGUAACCCGGCGUAGGUUUGGGCUGUGGAUCCCAUUGAUUUCAACGAGAGGGAUUCCUUAGGGCUGAAGGGCAAUAUAUCAGUUGCCCAAAGUAAUAACCAAUAAAUGCAUUAUAUAUUGUCUUACCCAGUUAAGGCAAAACCAUAGAUCAUCAUCAUCAUCAUUGAAUUGAAAUCAGAAAUACACACUAGUUUCUCAGUUGAUGUAUAUAUUGGAGCUGGGCCGGCUUAAUCUGGUGAAGCCACCAGCCAAUUAAGGCGACGAUCCAGUGCACAUGGAAUACAGGGAUUUACUUCCGAGUAAACACAUGCAUGAGGUGAAUGUUCCACUUGUGCCAACAGGUUUAACUGAAACAAAGAAGAGUCCUGUGGAUCCUUAGUGUUUAAGGACUUUAAGGGCACACAUUUAUUAUGGCAUAAACUUCUCUGGAGUCUGGACUACAGUCCACUUAAUCCGAUGCUUGAUUUGGCAGUGGGUUUAAAUUUAACUGCUCUGCGUUGUUGCGGAAUCACUAUUAUAACUCCCCACAAGUACAAGAAAUUGUACUGUGCGUUUUUUUUUAAAGACAUUAAUAUUCAUACGGAGUAAGUUGUUGGAGCUUCCCAACCUUAAGCGAACUGUUUAGUAAAAUACCCAACUCGCCUUAGAUAGAGUUUAAAGCGCACGCUGACAAUUAGCACUUUAAAUCUCUAGCAUCAUCCAAACCAAGUAAAGCGAGCAACUGAAUUAUUUUUUCUGCUUUUCAAAAAAAUAACUAUUAUUUAGGCAAAGAAGAAACAUCAACAUUAGGAUUCGAGGUUCCUGUUGAAGUCGGAAGAACAUCCCAUUAGUAUUGCUUCCAGACUAAUCCACAACCCAAGCCUGCAAGGGCCUGGCUUAAACUCAAGGGCCUCGACUUUCCCGCUGCACGAAAUGGAAUUUACGUAAGUAUCAGACUCCUAAAUUCACCCGCAGCAUCAGCAUUGCACGUACGAGCCGGCCUAGAUUUCUGCCUUAAGGUGGGAUCCACCUCUCUUAGAGGAAGCCCCUUUAACCAAUGGCAACGGAGGAACCGGGGGAAAUAUCGCUCGCUCUUGACCUCUGGCGGCAGAAGAACGUUCGGAGCUGGAAAGCGACUGAGCUGUCGCACCGAGGCAGCAUCUCUGCUUGCCCACCUGCCUGGGCGAGUGUCUGCUAGCUAAGCAUCGGUGGUAUUGGUGACCCAAACCCACUGGGUGUUGUUACCUCUAGGCUGCAGCAUCCGGCUUUGUUUCCUCUCCCCCCCCCCCCCGCAGCAACUGAUCUCCCCCAGCAACCCCCAUUAAGUCACCGGGCUGGGUUUAGCACAACGGCCUAAACUGCUUUCCUCCAGCGCCUGCUCAGCCCACCGACCCUUCCCAAAGGAGAGAAAGGAUGGAAGAUCUGAUCCGGGCCUGGAUUAAGACCUUUUGUAAACCACUUUGAGGUUUUCUGACAGUCAAGCAGGAUAUAAAAGUAGUGAGAUGGAUAAUGCAUUUCGGGGGGCGUAAAGACCUUUCCACAACCCAAGAACACAGAAAUUAAAUCCUGCGUUUAGUGGGACCUACCAACACUAGGAAACCGCGACUGAAUUAUCAGGGCAAUCUUAUACAUGCCUGUUCAAAAGUAAGCCCCUUAAUUCUAGAUGCAUUUACCCGGGAGUAAGCGCCAUCGAACUCGGCUGGACUUGAAUGGUAUCGCGCUGUUACUCUGGAACUGGCAGAACUGGACUGAGCAGUCCGUUUUGGACCUUAGGCAGCUGUGCUGACGGCGGGUGAUGGAAGCUAUGGGAGUUGUGGUCCCAAACAUCUGGAAGGCACCAGGCUGCCGAAAGCUGUUCUAUAAAAAUUACAUGGAUGGUGCAGAAGAGGGGCACAAACCACAGGGAAGUUCUCCUGCGAAUUAUCCAGUGAGAUCCAUUCUCUUGCGCAAUGCUCUCCUGUGUCCCUUUGGUUGGUUUAAUUGUCUGGUUUCUGAGACUGUUACUUGGUUGACUUGAGGAAAUCACCUGCAACUGUGUAACUCAAUGUGUGUUUACUCGGAAAUAAAUCCCAUUUAUGUAG